This is a long non-coding RNA of Parambassis ranga (Indian glassy fish), 420 nucleotides long. The record is from Ensembl. NCBI's taxonomy places the organism in Eukaryota, Metazoa, Chordata, Actinopteri, Ambassidae.
GCCCAAAAGGGAAAUGACGCCGGCGCAGAAAAUGGCGUCCGCAAAGCCUGUGGACCGCUGUGGCUCGCUACCCAUUUAAUUUAGAGCCGUGUGUGGGGGGUGUCCGCGUCGGGCAGAUGGACGGUAAUAACAACAUGGCAGUCCACCGCUGCCAGCCGCUUUCCUGAUCCCGGAGUCGAACCCGCAACUUCAUGUCUGAAGGAGCCAGAGCUGCCUGGUCGAAGAGGGGUUGUGGGGAUUCGCACCGCCGAGAACCUGGGAAACACAAGCACAGGAAAUGCGAGCGGCCCCUUAGUGCUCAGCCGUCAAAGCCUGUGAUUGUUCGCCCGGGCUCCAAAAGGUGAUUGACGCUCAGAAAAAGGGACUUUGUUAGCAUCUACUGGACACAAGGGGCACUGUCCUCUGAUUGGCUCGGACAAC